This 1605-nucleotide ribosomal RNA is filed under the name Salmonella enterica subsp. enterica serovar Muenchen. RNAcentral describes it as "bacterial LSU rRNA". It matches the Rfam family "Bacterial large subunit ribosomal RNA", at positions 1225 to 2812 of the family's 2925-position model. The record is from RNAcentral. RNAcentral also lists the same sequence under 1 other name. Lineage: Bacteria; Pseudomonadati; Pseudomonadota; Gammaproteobacteria; Enterobacterales; Enterobacteriaceae.
UGGGUAGGGGAGCGUUCUGUAAGCCUGUGAAGGUGGCCUGUGAGGGUUGCUGGAGGUAUCAGAAGUGCGAAUGCUGACAUAAGUAACGAUAAAGCGGGUGAAAAGCCCGCUCGCCGGAAGACCAAGGGUUCCUGUCCAACGUUAAUCGGGGCAGGGUGAGUCGACCCCUAAGGCGAGGCCGAAAGGCGUAGUCGAUGGGAAACGGGUUAAUAUUCCCGUACUUGGUGUUACUGCGAAGGGGGGACGGAGAAGGCUAUGUUGGCCGGGCGACGGUUGUCCCGGUUUAAGCGUGUAGGUGUGUGUUCCAGGUAAAUCCGGUUCACUUUAACACUGAGGCGUGAUGACGAGGCACUACGGUGCUGAAGCAACAAAUGCCCUGCUUCCAGGAAAAGCCUCUAAGCAUCAGGUAACAUCAAAUCGUACCCCAAACCGACACAGGUGGUCAGGUAGAGAAUACCAAGGCGCUUGAGAGAACUCGGGUGAAGGAACUAGGCAAAAUGGUGCCGUAACUUCGGGAGAAGGCACGCUGACACGUAGGUGAAGUGAUUUACUCAUGGAGCUGAAGUCAGUCGAAGAUACCAGCUGGCUGCAACUGUUUAUUAAAAACACAGCACUGUGCAAACACGAAAGUGGACGUAUACGGUGUGACGCCUGCCCGGUGCCGGAAGGUUAAUUGAUGGGGUCAGCGCAAGCGAAGCUCCUGAUCGAAGCCCCGGUAAACGGCGGCCGUAACUAUAACGGUCCUAAGGUAGCGAAAUUCCUUGUCGGGUAAGUUCCGACCUGCACGAAUGGCGUAAUGAUGGCCAGGCUGUCUCCACCCGAGACUCAGUGAAAUUGAACUCGCUGUGAAGAUGCAGUGUACCCGCGGCAAGACGGAAAGACCCCGUGAACCUUUACUAUAGCUUGACACUGAACAUUGAGCCUUGAUGUGUAGGAUAGGUGGGAGGCUUUGAAGCGUGGACGCCAGUCUGCGUGGAGCCAACCUUGAAAUACCACCCUUUAAUGUUUGAUGUUCUAACGUGGACCCGUAAUCCGGGUUGCGGACAGUGUCUGGUGGGUAGUUUGACUGGGGCGGUCUCCUCCUAAAGAGUAACGGAGGAGCACGAAGGUUGGCUAAUCCUGGUCGGACAUCAGGAGGUUAGUGCAAUGGCAUAAGCCAGCUUGACUGCGAGCGUGACGGCGCGAGCAGGUGCGAAAGCAGGUCAUAGUGAUCCGGUGGUUCUGAAUGGAAGGGCCAUCGCUCAACGGAUAAAAGGUACUCCGGGGAUAACAGGCUGAUACCGCCCAAGAGUUCAUAUCGACGGCGGUGUUUGGCACCUCGAUGUCGGCUCAUCACAUCCUGGGGCUGAAGUAGGUCCCAAGGGUAUGGCUGUUCGCCAUUUAAAGUGGUACGCGAGCUGGGUUUAGAACGUCGUGAGACAGUUCGGUCCCUAUCUGCCGUGGGCGCUGGAGAACUGAGGGGGGCUGCUCCUAGUACGAGAGGACCGGAGUGGACGCAUCACUGGUGUUCGGGUUGUCAUGCCAAUGGCACUGCCCGGUAGCUAAAUGCGGAAGAGAUAAGUGCUGAAAGCAUCUAAGCACGAAACUUGCCCCGAGAUGAGUUCU